AGGUAGAGACUGGGCAGCAGAGGCGGGAAUAUGGUGGGGGGAAGCGGUAGACGGAAGUACUGGGCGUAAAGAGCGGGCAGGGAGUGCGGUAAGUCAGGUGUGAAAGAGCCGGGUGUAAUCUGGGAAGUGCGUUUGAAGCUGGAGGUCGAGAGUGCGGCAGAGUGGGAUGGAAUUGCAUGGGUGGGAUAGAAAUGCGUAGAGAGAUGGAAGAACAUCGAUGGCGAAGGCAACCUCUUGGGCUAGCACUGACGCUCAUGCACGAAAGCGUGGGGUGCAAACAGGAUUAGAUACCCGUGAGUC
RNAcentral lists this ribosomal RNA (300 nucleotides) under uncultured Desulfurella sp. RNAcentral's name for it is "bacterial SSU rRNA". It matches the Rfam family "Bacterial small subunit ribosomal RNA", at positions 495 to 795 of the family's 1533-position model. Lineage: Bacteria; Pseudomonadati; Campylobacterota; Desulfurellia; Desulfurellales; Desulfurellaceae. The record is from RNAcentral.